Molecule: ribosomal RNA, 411 nt
Filed under: grassland soil clone sl3_618
Lineage: Bacteria
Description: bacterial SSU rRNA
Rfam family: Bacterial small subunit ribosomal RNA
Source: RNAcentral
AACACAUGCAAGCCGAGCGGAAAGGCCACUUCGUGGUACUCGAGCGGCGAACGGGUGAGUAACACGUGAGUAAUCUGCCCCUGGCUUUGGGAUAGCCACCGGAAACGGUGAUUAAUACCGGAUAUGACAGCUUCUCGCAUGAGAUGGUUGUGGAAAGUUUUUCGGCCAGGGAUGUGCUCGCGGCCUAUCAGCUUGAUGGUGAGGUAAUGGCUCACCAUGGCUUCGACGGGUAGCCGGCCUGAGAGGGUGACCGGCCACACUGGGACUGAGACACGGCCCAGACUCCUACGGGAGGCAGCAGUGGGGAAUAUUGGACAAUGGGCGGAAGCCUGAUCCAGCAACGNCGCGUGAGGGAUGACGGCCUNCGGGUUGUAAACCUCUUUCGGUGGGGACGAAGCGCAAGUGACGGUA